CUGCAGACCUCCCCUCGCCUCAGCACUAUAAGGCCACUUCUCUAGUUUUCGAUGCGAUUGACCUUACCCCAUUGCCCAGAUUAAGAAAACCUAGCUGCCAUCACUAGAGGGAGAGCUUAGAGAGGCAAGUCAGAGAGCACGGCGCCACGCCGGGAAAUUCUAGGAUUGGGGCGUACCUCACCAACACUCGCAUCGAGGUGACCGCUUUGGUGCAGGGAGGUCGGGCGUAACACUCUCACUUGGUGCCGGAACUGGGAGCGUCACCAAUCGACCGUUGAUUCGAGCCAGGGCAUAGCGAAUCCUCGGCUCAUCGCCGCCGGGACAAAUCGCUACCUUCUGUCUUCUGUGCGGUAUGCUUUCCCCUGUU
This 367-nucleotide long non-coding RNA is filed under the name Zea mays. RNAcentral's name for it is "long non-coding RNA NONZMAT000831". The record is from RNAcentral. Lineage: Eukaryota; Viridiplantae; Streptophyta; Magnoliopsida; Poales; Poaceae.